AAUAAUUACCGAAGACUAAAUCAUGGAUGUAAUUUGAAUUUGCUACUGCAAUAAUUGAGUUCGUUAAACGCAUUUGUAACAUCCUAUGACAAGUAAACGGUUGGAACGUUCUGAGACCCGUACCGCUUGGAAGCGCAGAUCAAACCCCCGCAAGCAAGUGGAAGACACUCACCGACAAGAGGCUCGUGAGCGCCUAGGGAACCACAGCUUGUGCAGAUUUAUCGCCAUAUUGGAUUCUUCCCCGGAGCAUUGUUCCUAUUGAUGGAAUUGCACACAUACAUGUGUCUGCGAUUAGAUUCGUUAUUCAUGCUUUCUAACGACUGACAAAGUAAUUUAACCGACGGUCUUUUGUUUACAUUCUGAAUUUUUCGCCGUUUAAAAAAUAUUUUACUUCAUUUUGCGGUAUAAUCAAUAAAAGAUUGGUGGAGAGAGGAGUUUGUCGUGUAGUGGAAUUGGCUAGGGUGGGGAAAGUUGAAGGAAUUAAAAGGUGUAGUGUCAAGCAUGCAAGCAUCGUAGGCAGGUGGUGGUUACCAACUGUCACAAAGGUUUGUUUUCCGCAGUGGCGGUGUUCCGUAGGUGAAUAUUCAGUCGAAACCGCAUUGUGUAGAGGUACAUUAAAUUUGGCAUUUUUGUUGAUAUGAUAUAUUAUCAUCCGCGGAGUGUUCGGUGUCAAUCGUGUUUUAUUGGGUAAUUUUCAAAUGAUGACCUACGACUUUUAAACAGUAUAACGCAAUUGCCCUUUGCUGAUGAAAAAGACGUAGUGAUAAUUGAAUCAGUAUAAAUUAAGGGCCCCGCUUAAAAAUGUUUUCAAAGAAAAAAAAGAAACCCCAAAUUUCUAUGCCAAGCAAUUUUGAACAUCGCGUCCACACGGGUUUUGAUAAACGCGAGGGUCGUUAUGUAGGGCUUCCCCUGCAAUGGGCUUCGAUCGUAGGAAACAACCAAAUACUAAAGUCUUCAAAUCGUCCACUGCCACUAGUGGACCCGUCCGAAAUAACACCAACAGAAAUCUUGGAUUUAAAAACAAUUGUGCGUCCACACCAAAAUAACAACAAAACAGAUGAUUCAGGUUUAUGCUCAACCCAAUUAAACACAAUAGCCGGUAGCAAUGGCAUUAUACUACCCAAAAUAUCAAAUGUUGCUCGUUCAAAUUCUCUACGAAGUUCUUCGCCGCCGCGGGCGCGUCGAGAUUUGAAAGGAAAUGCAAACGUUCCGCCGGCUGUGCCGGAAGAGCCAGUACAAUAUUCAGGCAUGAAACGUGACGGCAUACUAGCGACAAAAACACCACCGCAGCAACAUAUGCAACUUAACGAUUGGAAUUUGCGAAAUCUGCAACAAAACAUCGUCCCUCCACCCAGUCAGUUUUAUACUGAGGGAACAACUUAUACCAGUAAGAAUAUGAAUGGAAAUGGGUUGUUAUCGAUCCACACAGAAAUGAAUUCAGCACAAUCCAGGCAACCACAAACCUCUCCUGCAGGUUCCAUUGCGAGUUCUGUUCGACAGCCCCAAUUUACUCCUUCCAGUCAAUCGCAGCAGCAUUCAAACAUAUCUGCUUCGCAUUCCCCCCACCCCUCGAACUAUAUAAAUCAAGGUAGGGGAUCUCAUCCGAAGCAAAAUCUUAAUUCACCACCAUCGCAUCGUCCUCUACCCUCAAUCAACCACGACCAGAAUCAUAAUGCCCAGUUGCAAUCCUAUCAAUCACUUUCACAACAUCACUCUCAUCUCCCUCCUCAGUCCUCAGCUCUUACUGGCAAUAGUUUGAAGGCAAAUUCGAGAGCGUCCACCUCAAGUGGAGGUAAUAAUUCGGUCAUUCAGAUAAAUGCGGCGAAUCCGUCAGUUCCACCGAAACAGGAUCAACGACUAACCCAUGAACAGUUUCGGGCAGCUCUGCAAAUGGUCGUUUCAGCAGGCGACCCCAGGGAAAAUUUAGAAAACUUUAUGAAGAUUGGCGAAGGAUCAACGGGAACCGUUUGUAUAGCAACAGACAGAUCAACAGGUCGACAAGUCGCCGUAAAGAAAAUGGAUCUUCGAAAGCAGCAAAGACGAGAACUUUUAUUCAACGAAGUAGUCAUCAUGCGUGAUUAUCAUCAUCCGAACAUUGUGGAAACAUAUUCCAGCUUUCUGGUUAAUGAUGAGCUUUGGGUAGUAAUGGAAUAUUUAGAAGGAGGUGCGCUUACAGAUAUUGUUACACAUUCUCGAAUGGAUGAGGAGCAAAUUGCAACAGUGUGUAAGCAAUGUUUGAAGGCGUUGGCAUACCUUCAUUCUCAGGGCGUGAUUCAUCGAGAUAUUAAAUCUGAUUCAAUUCUUCUGGCAGCUGAUGGGCGUGUUAAACUAUCAGAUUUUGGCUUUUGCGCUCAAGUAUCGCAAGAGCUUCCAAAGCGUAAAUCACUGGUUGGCACUCCAUACUGGAUGUCGCCAGAAGUGAUAUCGCGCCUUCCCUACGGCCCAGAAGUUGAUAUUUGGUCGUUGGGCAUAAUGGUUAUCGAAAUGGUUGACGGCGAACCACCUUUCUUCAAUGAACCACCGUUGCAAGCGAUGCGUCGCAUUCGUGACAUGCAACCACCGAACUUGAAAAAUGCUCAUAAAGUUUCACCUCGAUUGCAAGCUUUUCUUGAUCGAAUGUUAGUUCGCGAUCCUGCAGAACGAGCAACAGCAACCGAGCUUCUUGAUCAUCCAUUUCUACGACAGGCUGGGCCGCCAUCUCUGCUCGUGCCUCUAAUGCGCGGAACAAGGCAUACCUGAGCGGGGUAAUAUAGGACUAACUUAGAUGUUUUAGUUCUAUUUUGAGUUAAGAGGCAGUAAGAAGGUAACUUUUAGAAAGUAAAAGUUCAUAUACUGAGCAUUGGAAUAAACUUCUCUGCUUUUAUUUGAGAUAAUGUAAGUGUUAUCCCACGUAGCUAUAAUUUCUAAAAUUCUUGAUUAGAGAGAAGCAAAAUUGGUGAAUUGUACUUCGUUGUUGUACAAAUAACAAGAUGGGAUGAGGAAUUAGAAGAAAAAUAGGGGGGAUAUCCAUGUCAAAUAUUAUAGAAAUAUGAACUCAAGCGUAGUAUGUAUCUCUUCUUCCUUUCUCUCUGUCGUUUAUUAUUUUUGUGUUGUUACAGGGAGGUGACACAUACUUGCGUAAUGCGCCCUUUGGGUGGCAAUAUUAAUGAUGCAAAUUAUUGUUCCAAUGAAGGUAGUAUUAUGCGAUGAUUGGUAAUUGGAGAUAAAUAUAUAUUAAAAAAGAAAAACAGGACAGAAAAAUAACAUGAAUGUACGGUCAGUAGUCAUUCAUUAUUGUUAAUACAAGAAAGCCCCAAUCAAAUACGAGGAAAGAAAACGUUAGUAUAAUCAUAGAUAUAAUAUUUAAUAAUUACCAAAAUUACGAUUCUACUAUCAAAUUGCUUUUAAUAUUAGAUUAUCGGGCAUUUGACGCAAGCAAUAAAACGUCAUGUGUGGAAACACUGCUUUCAUUGGGCA
Molecule: unclassified non-coding RNA, 3456 nt
Filed under: Hermetia illucens (black soldier fly)
Lineage: Eukaryota; Metazoa; Arthropoda; Insecta; Diptera; Stratiomyidae
Description: serine/threonine-protein kinase PAK mbt, transcript variant X1
Source: RNAcentral